GCAGGUCUCAUCCGGCAGCCCGUGGUACGGCCCCGACCGCGUCAAGUACCUCGGCCCCUUCUCCGGCGAGCCCCCGUCCUACUUGACCGGCGAGUUCCCCGGGGACUACGGGUGGGACACCGCCGGGCUCUCGGCCGACCCCGAGACCUUCGCCAAGAACCGGGAGCUCGAGGUGAUCCACUGCAGGUGGGCCAUGCUCGGGGCCCUCGGGUGCGUCUUCCCGGAGCUCCUGGCCCGCAACGGCGUCAAGUUCGGCGAGGCCGUGUGGUUCAAGGCCGGCGCCCAGAUCUUCAGCGAGGGCGGCCUCGACUACCUCGGCAACCCCAGCCUGAUCCACGCCCAGAGCAUCCUCGCCAUCUGGGCCUGCCAGGUCAUCCUGAUGGGCGCCGUCGAGGGCUACCGCGUCGCCGGAGGGCCCCUCGGGGAGGUGACCGACCCGCUCUACCCCGGCGGCAGCUUCGACCCGCUCGGCCUCGCGGACGACCCCGAGGCCUUCGCGGAGCUCAAGGUGAAGGAGAUCAAGAACGGGCGGCUCGCCAUGUUCUCCAUGUUCGGGUUCUUCGUGCAGGCGAUCGUGACCGGAAAGGGGCCGCUGGAGAACCUGGCCGACCACCUCGCCGACCCGGUGAACAACAACGCCUGGGCCUACGCCACCAACUUCGUCCCCGGAAAGUGAGGGGUCUUAUGUAGACGAGAGGGUCUUUUUUUUUAUGACGAUUCUUGUGGUGGUUCCUCAUCUCGUGUAAAUUC
Molecule: long non-coding RNA, 750 nt
Filed under: Eucalyptus grandis
Lineage: Eukaryota; Viridiplantae; Streptophyta; Magnoliopsida; Myrtales; Myrtaceae
Description: long non-coding RNA (EGRA_LNC002955)
Source: RNAcentral